UGGAUUGGCCAAAAAGUUCGUUCGGAUUUUUCCAUGAAAAAUGCGAACAAACAUUUUGAUCAACCCA
Molecule: microRNA precursor, 67 nt
Filed under: Tursiops truncatus (common bottlenose dolphin)
Lineage: Eukaryota; Metazoa; Chordata; Mammalia; Artiodactyla; Delphinidae
Description: miRNA (ENSTTRG00000024725.1)
Source: RNAcentral